Molecule: long non-coding RNA, 409 nt
Organism: Stomoxys calcitrans (stable fly)
Lineage: Eukaryota; Metazoa; Arthropoda; Insecta; Diptera; Muscidae
Exons: 3
Source: RefSeq, a predicted model, not a curated record
AAAUCCAAAUUGAUAUAUGAAAAUCUUCAUAAGUAAUAACAAAAAUAUCACCAGUUAUUUGUUAUGUGUUACUCAAAAUAACCGAAACAAAGUGAACAAAUAGCCUCCUGGAUAAUCGAACUGAAAAGUGGAUUAGCAGAACAUUGGACUCUAAUCUUUGCAUUGGAUUUGCUGUAAAUAAAAAUUACUAAGGCAGAAGCAGUAAUGGCAGCAGCAGCCGAAGCGACAUGACUGCUGCAUGAAAUGCAAAAACUUUGAAAAAAUAAACAAAACUUUUUGCAAACCCAUUUGAAAAACAUUGAAAAUCUCAUUAACUCCAAAUUCAGGUAAGAUUUGAUGAUGACAUAAACAAACAAUAUAGGAAAAUUAAUCAUCAACACAUUUUAAGGUAAAAGUUUUAUAGACACUU